AUAAGCCCUUGUUCCCCCCUUUGUUCCCAAACGCUAUGUUUGACUCCCGGGAACAGUAGUUCCCGAAAAUCUGGAACUAGCUGGUAUAAGGUUGGAACUGCUGUUCCAUCCGUUUCCUGGAAUAAGCUUGUUCCUUGAUGAGAACAAGAUUAAUUAAAAUCUAAAUUUAAUUUUACUGGCAGUAAAUUAUUAAUUAAUCUAAUUAAUAUAUUUAAAUUAUUAUUUAUUAUUUUAAUAAUUAAAUAAUUAAAUAAUUUAUUAUUUAUAAUUAAUUAUGAAUAAUUAGAUAAUUAUUAUUAUUAAUUUAUUAUUUAUAAUUAAUUAUUAAUAAUUAAUAAUAUUUAUUAAUUUUUUAUUAAUAAUUAUUAUUCUUAAUGAUAAUCGAUAUUAUUAAUUAAU
This 399-nucleotide long non-coding RNA is filed under the name Ananas comosus (pineapple). RNAcentral describes it as "long non-coding RNA (ACOM_LNC033132)". The record is from RNAcentral. Lineage: Eukaryota; Viridiplantae; Streptophyta; Magnoliopsida; Poales; Bromeliaceae.